This is a long non-coding RNA of Anneissia japonica, 464 nucleotides long. RefSeq lists it as uncharacterized. The record is from RefSeq and is a predicted model, not a curated record. NCBI's taxonomy places the organism in Eukaryota, Metazoa, Echinodermata, Crinoidea, Comatulida, Comatulidae. The transcript has 2 exons.
UAGCAGGCACAUUGACAUAUUAAGAAGCAGUGGUGUUCAGCUUCAUAAUGAGUAUAUACAGUAAAACACAACACAGAAUACUAGUUGAUGGUUUGGUUGCAAUUCAAUUAUUUGCAUAUAUCAGCAGACCAGUUGUCUUUAUUACUAGGCAGAGAAAUAAUGAAUAUUCAUUAGACAGUCACUUGAAACUGCAGAAACCAAGAAAAUGCUGAUAUGACACCAAGUCAAGAUUAACUUCUGGAGAGGAUAUAUAUCUUUCAGCGGGGCCAAGGGUGGUGGGUGGCGCGUAGGUUCCACGUAGGCGAUCACCUAUUAUAGGCGAUCACUACCGCUUGGAUAAUCCCAACUGUCUUUUUGCGCUAAACGCUGACGAAAUUUUCAAAAAAAGUUUCGUUAGGAUUUGUUGGAAUGUAUGUGGUUUAGCAAAUACAGUACGCUACAAAUGAGUUGUAGUACAAUGAAAA